CCACCCAUAUAUAAGGACUCGAGGAGUGUAUGAUUUUGCAAGAACCCAUCUGGAAGCAGCCUCACAUCAAUCCUUCCAAUAUAAAGGUAUGUGAUAGAAGUAAAUUUCAUAACUGACAUCAGUAACGAAACAUUGCCUCCAUCGAUGAGUAAGCUUUUGACGGAAGGUAUAAUUGGUAUUUCGGUCAACAAGGGGCAAAGAACUACAGAUAAUACUUUAAGACGAGGAAAACUACACGGAGCCCAUUGCUCUAGUCUCUUCAUUGAAAUAAAUGUCAGUCCCUCCAAAGAUGGGAAUGGAUUUUGCUCAUCUCCAUACACAUGGCUGUCAAUACACUUCACACCAUCCAUUCCACCUAGUUCAAGAUUCUUGAGGAACUGUAAUUUCCCAAAUGGUGGAAGUUGUUCACAGUUGCCACAUGCUUUUUAGCUUCAUCUCUACUAGAUUCGGUAGCAUCAAGUUCAAGUUCAUCAUCCACUUUGGAAAUUUUGAACCCCCAUAUCCAAUUAAUCUCAAUUUCUUCAGAUUUGAAUGAGGUUGAAGCCCAUCAAGGACAUCCUCAUUAUUUUCAGCUGAUUGCACACAAGUAAAAGGGUGACCUCCAUUCUUAUUCCAAGAUAAAUGCAGUGAUAGAAGAGUUGUCUUCAACUUCAAAUUGGCACUUCUGGCAUCUGUUAAAUUCUUAACAUUAACAAGAUCUGUGAUGCUUAGUUCACCAGCAAGAUUAUUCAGCCUUUCUAGCUCCCCUAAGUGACGACCAUCCUCCUUACCCACAAUGAACAGGCCAAGUUUUCGCAGGCAUGUUAAUUGCCCCAUUCCAAAUGGCAUAAAUCGAAGUGAAUAACAGCCCGUGAUGUCAAGAUAGAUGAGACUUUUCAUAUGCUUCAUACCUCUAGGUAAUUGGAUGAGCUGUGUACACUGACUCAGAUUUAGUGUCUGAAGAUUUUGGAGGGAGGUGGUUGAUGCAGGCAAUUUUUUAAUGUUGGAAUUGGAGACAUCUAGAAACCUUAGAUGUUUCAAAUAACAAAUUGACUUUGGCAAUGUAUUGAGAUAGAUACCUAUAUGCAAGGCUCUCAGAUGCUUUUGUUGGGUGAAAUAAAGAUGCAAAUCAUCACUCACAGUGUGAUGAUAAACUCCAGAAAGCAAAAUUGAGCGUAGUGACCGAGAUUUGAAAUCCUUGUCUUUUGGAACAAACUGUGAUGUCCUGUAUGCACCCACAUGACGAAUUGUUUUAGGAAUUUGCAACUUUGUAUUGCCCUCAAUCAAACAACAUUCUCUCUUCAUAAUGUACUGUGCAAGAUCAUGGAUAAGAUCGUGCAUUUUACAUGAUAUGUUGCCCAGCCCAUCAUCCAUGACUUCUUGAAAAAAAGACCUCCCAACUAAUUCGUGGAAAAUCUCUUCACCCUUAUCGUGCAAAUCCAUUUGCCCAAUGCACGAAAUGAAGCCAUUUGCCAUCCAUAGAGCUACCAACCGCUCCUUCCGAAUGACAUAAUCUUUGGGGAAUAUAGAGCAAAAUGCAAAGCAUUGCUUCACAGCUGGCUUUAGAUUCAUAUAACUCAAACUCAAGGCAGGUAAUAUCUGGCUUCCUUCAUUCGGCAGAUCCCAAAUCUCACUUUCUUUCACAGACAGCCACUCCCUUUCAAUUUUCUUCGAGCGCAUCAGGCUUCCGACUGCUCUUAUAGCCAACGGAACUCCGCUACACUUGUUAACUAUCGCUGCUCCAAUGUUUUCCAAGUGACCAUACUCCUCUCUCCUUCUCAUACCAAAUGCAAGCUGCUUAAAUAAAAGCCAGGAAUCCUCAUCCGACAAUGUUUCCAUAUGUUGAACAGGAUUUGUGGCCAUUUUUUCUGCCAUAGUUCCCAAACGAGUAGUCACAAUAACUGCACUUCCUUUAGCUCCACAACUCAAUGCAUCUUUCAACUUGCUCCAGUUAUCAUGGUCAUCAUCCCAAACAUCAUCCAAUAUGAGCAAAAACUUCGUACCACGUAACUUUUCUUGGAGGCAUCGUAGAAGAGCAUCCAACUGUUGAAUAUUUGGAGUAGUGCGUUGAAUGGACUCGAUGAUGGCUGUUGUCAAUCUUUUUAUGUUGAAAUCAACUGAUACGCACACCCAAAUCCGCAAAUCAAAAUGCCCUUCUAUUCUUCCGUCGUUGUAGACUAAUUGAGCAAGUGUUGUUUUACCCAAGCCCCCCAUUCCACAUAUAGCAUAAACAGAGAAAUCAUCUGAACUGGUGAGCAGCAUGUUGACCAGAUCUUCUUUCUCCUUGCCCCUUCCAUAAAUUUCUGAUUCAUUCACCCAUGACCAAGUCUGACGCCAAUCAAAACUAUCUGCUUCUAUCUCCAAAGCCCCUUCUAUUAAAUGGAAAUUGUGUCUCUCCUUGGCAAUGGCAUCUAGUUUUUCUCUAACAUUCUUCAAUUUAUGCACCAUUUUUUGUCGAAAAACAAGUGGAUUAUGAUUGAUAGAAAAGAAGGAACUAACUCGAUAUUUGAGAUCUCUUGGCUGCUGAUGCCACUGAGCUUCAAUUGCAAACUCAUCUAGCAAAUCAUCAGCGUCAUAAGCUGCAUCCUUGAUGUCUCUGAGCCACACCUUUAUAGGCUCACUCUUCCACUGCUUCUCCUCUGCAUCUUGCAGCACAGCUCGAAUAGUUCUGAACGUGCGGUUGAGAUUUUCAAGCUCGGUCUCUAGGCCCCCAGCAAGUCCAAGCUCUUGAAGAAUUGGGGAAUUCAAGUUCCCCAUGAUUGUACUCGCGACAGCAGAAAUAAUUGCAUCAGCCAUAGCUUGUUAUCGAAUGGAAAAUAAUUGGAUGUUGACAAGAAGUAGAAAAUGUGCAAGGAUAACCAAAAGCAGGGAUGAGGAAACAGAGCAGUGUGGGAUGAGAAAUGGCAAAGGUGAAAGUGUAUGGUGAUGAGCUUUUCUUCUACUAUCGAUCUCUUUUCAUUAGUGAUUGAUAAUGUGAUGGAUCCAUUUCAUUAUUAGUGAUCUCUUCGCUGCAGUUUCAGAGAAGGAACGUGGCUGUGUUUGCUUAUUGGUUAGUAAAAGUCUUCGUCCCGCACUGGCCAGGCCGCUUGGGCUCCACACGGAUAUUAAGUAAUAUUCUAAAAGUAGUUUCCCCGCGCCUUUUACUUAUUCUACUGUACACAUAACCCGCAAUGUUGCGGAUUACUUUUUUAUAAAAAAUAUUAAAAAAAUAAAAAUUUAAAAAUUUUGAGUUUUUCUGCAAAGCUAUACUAAAAAAUCUUGAGUUUAGCUGCAACACUUAAUCUAAGAGUAAUAUUUAUAAUGUUAAUAAUAAAAUUAAACUUGCAUGAUCCAAGUUUAAGUUAGUCUGGCUGCAACAUCGGACCCAAGAAUAUUGGAUGUGGGUCUGACUAUAAGAUCGUGUCAUAAAAAUAUGAUAAUUAAAUAGAUUAAUUAAAAAAAUAAAGAAAAAAAAUCAAUAGAAAGAAAAAAACUAAUAAAGAAAAAGAAAAAAAAUGAAUUAAUUAGGUUAACCCUUUAAACCAGGUUAUCCCGUAAAACCUGAGAUUCACGUCAUAAAAGUUUGAUAAUUAAAUAGAAAAAAAAAUGACGGGUUUACCCAGAAUUAACUGGGUUAACCUAUCAAAUCAAGUUAACUCGUCAAGCCUAGGAUACGUGUUAUGAAAGUAUGAAAGUCUGAUAAUUAAAUAGAAAGAAAAUUAACUUUAACAAACUAAACUAAAUGAAAAAAAUAACUCGUCAAAUCAAGUUAACCUAUCAAACCCGAGAUCUGUAUUAUGAAAAUCUGAUAACUAAAUAAAAAAAUUAUCAUUAACAAACUAAAUCAAACAAAAAAAUUCAUUAAAAAAAUUAAAAAGAAAAAAAUAGUUAUAUAAUAUAAUAAUAAUAACAAUAAUAAGUAAAUAUAUUAGUAAAAGGCGUGACAUGCCCGCGCGAUGCCGCGGGCUUGUGGCAUGCUUAUACAUUAUCGUGGAUUUGUGAAAAAAAUCAUAUAAAAAAAUACAGUUAUCAUCCACAAUAUUUUAAAGGAAAAAACUACAAAGUUAUAUUCUCAACCAGCUCAAUAUUAAAAAAAACAAAAUCGACAAAAACAAUUAUGAAAAAAAACACACAAAAAAUGAAAACAAGAAGAUGACAAUUUUGGAAGAAAAAAGACAAAAAACAAAUAAUAAAAAAUAGGAAAAAAAACAUGUGGGGAAAGUUAAAGCUAAAUUUUCAACCAGCUUAAUAUUAAAAUCAUUUAAGAAAAUAUUGUAGCAAUUUAUAGUAUUUUGUAAAAAAAUAUAUAACUAUAAUUCUUAAACAGUUCAAUAUUAAAAAAAAAUUAAUAAAAAUAAUUUUGAUGGAAAAUAAUUGGAUGUUGACAAGAAGAAGUAGAAAAUGUGCAAGGAUAACCAAAAGCAGGGAUGAGGAGACAGAGCAGUGUGGGAUGAGAAAUGGCAAAGGUGAAAGUCUGGUGAUGGUCUUUACUGUUGCUAUUGAUCAAUUCUUCAUUACAUUAAAUGAAGGACGAAUUUUUUGCUUUUAGAAGUUGUGAUGUGAGCUUUAAACAAAUUAUAUGUUUGAAAAAAACCUACCAUACCUCCUAAGAAUGUUUUUAGCAGUGUGGUAACUGUUAUUUUUCAAAUAAUUUUUUGUACCGAAAGGUACGUCAAUGAUUUUUUUAUUUUUUAAAAAUUAUUUUUAACCAUAUUAAAUUUUAAUAAAAAAAUAAAAAAAAAAUUUACAUCUUAGAAACACAAGUUGAACCGUGUUUCCAAUCACUGCCUAAGCUGCCGUCCUUGACUAUUAUAUUGAUUAGGCUCCACACGGUCGAGACUUGACUAGCUGUGCUUACAAUAAAGCAAUUCAAUUUUCAAAGAAGGAACAUGGCUGUGAUUUGAAGACAAGAUUUGUCUGCCGGUGUGAACCCAAACUUUUGUUCAAAAUGUGAGCCAAAAUCCAAUCUAAAUUAAUUUAGUAUAUAAAAAAGUUGUAUUUUUUUUUUGUAGUUGUUAUAAUUCUCUCUCAUCAAUUAAAAAAUUUUAAUCUUUAAUAUUGAAUUUUUAGGUUUAAAAAAGGUAAAAAUAACAAGUAAGCAAUUCUUUUUCAUGUUUGGUUUGUUUAUGAAAAAAUUAAGAUUUAUAAAGAUUUGAAGUUUAUGUUUUUAAAAUGAAUUCAUGAUUAUUAUGAAUUUGAGGUUAAGUGAUUAAUUUUGGAUGUGUUGUUAGAAAUAAAAAUUUGUGAAUUAAUUUGUUAAGGGUUAAGAAAUUCGCUUCAACUUUGCUAGAAAAUAUGGACAAAAUAAUUUUGAGGUUGAAGAUAAAGAAAUUGUAUUUUGGUCCUUGAUUUAUAAAAAUUACAGUGUAGUUCCUAAACAUUGAAAAAUUAUAAUUUGACCUGUAACUAUAUUUUGGGAUUCUGAGUGGUAUUAUUAUGAGGUUAAGGAUAAUGACUCUCAGUUUAAUAAUUGAUUUAGGAUAUUUUUAGUCUGGUCCUUUAAUUUUGAAAGUUUACAUUUUAAUCCCUGAACUUUAAAGAAAUUAUAGUUCGGUCCCUGGUUCAUUUCUAGAUAGAAUUGAAAAUGGUUUGUUGGUAAAAUUUCAAUAUGGUUAUGUAUUUACAAUUUGCUUCAAUUUUGGUAAAAUUUUGUUUUGGCUCGUGAUUUCUAAAAAAUGUUGUUUUAGUCCUUAAACUCAUAAGAAUAAACCUGGUUUUAUUUUAUGCAUUGGAAUAUAUUUAUUUGUUGUUUUGGGUUGUUUUUUAGUAUAUUCUGGAUAUUUGUUAUAGGCUCUCCUAACAAUCAUCAAUAAAAUUUUCGGGUUUUUCAUUUGAUAUUCCUUUUAGUUAUAUAUUUUCUAAGUGAGUGAAAUAAUCUUUUUAAUAUUUAUAUAGGUUGCUUUAUUUUCUGAAUACUGAUUUAUUCUUGAAUUUAUACUCGCAUUCUAUUAAACUAAAUUAUAUUCGAUAUGAUAUACAUUUCUUUGAUGAUUCUGCGAAUACCUAGCUGGUAAGAGAGGCAUCAACUUGUUGUGACCGAUCCUCCCACAAUGAUCAUUUUCGGGUGUCAUAUGAUCUUUGACAUAUAUUCAACUACUUUAUAAUAAUAUGCUUAAUAUGUGAUCCUCCACAAUGAUCAUUUCGGGUGUCAUCUGAUCACCUUCGGGUAUCAUCUGAUCUUUGACAUAUAUUCAACUAUUUUAUAAUAAUAUGCUUAGUAUGUAUAUGUUUAUCAAGAUAAAUCAACUUGCAAACUAUUAAUAUCUAAAAUAUAUAUUAAAUAUUAUUCCCUCAAUGAGUUGGUUGCACUCACCUUUUAUUUUUAAUAUUAUUUUAGGUUUUUAGUUUCUGUUAGCAAGUGGCCUUUAUUGAGUAUUCUUGCUUCUUCAAUUUUGAUUGAUAUGUCUUGCUUAUUUUAUAAGACUUUCCUUUUAGUUUUGAUUCGAUGUAUUAGACACUUCAUUAUUACUUUAUUUUAAUUAAGUUUAGAUUUUAACAAUGUAAUAAGUAUUAUGAAUUUUUUUUUUAAUUACUGAUAAGAAGUUUUGAACUAUCAUUUAGUUUUAUUAAUUUUGAAUAAUAUAAUAUUUUUAAAGAUAAUGAAAUGCUAUAAAUUUUUAGAUAACUUAUUCUUUUAAUAUGUUUAUUUUAAAACUUAAUGUAAAUGAAAUAUUCUUUUGACAUCGUUUCUAUAUUAUUAGUCAUGAACUCGGGAUUCAUAACUUGAAUUGCCUUGUUUGUUAGCAAACAUCUUCUUCUCUACUCUCAUUUUUUUUAAUCAAUGGCCAGUGGCCGUCGGUGACCCCAUAUCCAUGUAGCCAAGCUGCGCACUGGCCAGACCCUCGGAAACACCAAUAUCUUCCAGCGCUAGUGAAUGCAAGUUGCCCAAGAUUGUAAUUGCAAGAGCAGAAACAAGUGCAUCAGCCAUGUUUUUAGGGAAUCCAUGAUCGAAGAACAGUGCAUAGUGAACUUUUUUUUCCCCGGAUUUAAUUCAAAUAAAUGUGUUACCUUCCAAUUAAUCUGGUAAUUACAGAAGAAAGAAGGGAUCUUGAAUAACAAGAAGAACAACAGAAGAAAAGAAACAGAGAGAAAGAGAAACUUUUAGUAACAUUCAACACUGGUUUUUUUUUUUUUUUUUUUUUUAACAAAAUCAACAUUCAACUCACACCAUUAAUAUUGUAUAUUUUUUUUUUUGUUAAUCAUAGGUACCCCAUGUUAGCUUUCACAUACCAAACGAAGUCUUUACAACCCGAAAUCAAUUUUUACAUAAGAUUAAAUUGCAUGUUUGAAACGCGGUGAAAAUUAUAUUCUAAAACUUUUAAUUCUUUACUUAAGAUAAAUUUUUUAUAUAUUUUUAUUAUUUUGAUGUAUUUUAUUAAAAAUAAUUUUUUUUAAAAAAAUAAAAAAUUUUAUUUUAAUAUAUUUAUAUACAAAAAAUAUUUUAAAUCACCACCAUUAUUUCAAUUUCAAAAAGAUAAAGCCCUGUGACCCGUGGCCCUAAAAGAUUUAAUGCUAGAAAAAUUCAAACAGGAGAAAGCAAACCUCCAAGCCCAUAACUAAAUACGGCUAGACCAACUCUUUGAGUUUCUAUUUACAUUGUUUGCUUGCUAUUGAUACUUCAUUCAUGGACAGACCGGAGUCCAGCCUGACGUGCAGCAUCACGAACUUCAGGUUUCUCAGUUCGCCUCUUCUGUAUGAGUAUGACCUCCAAAGUAGCACCUACAAUAGACCUUGAGAAAGGCUUUUUUGUAGCACGACGUCUCUUCGUAAAAGUUUCAGCAGCAAUGUCCUGUAAUUAUUAGGAAAGUUGUAUCAAAAUCAACAUCAUGAGUUCUUAUCUAAAGGGAAACUCAUCCUACAAAUAGAAGUUAAUUGGAAACUACAAAAAAAUAGUCACCUUCUUAUGUUGCUUCCUGUACAUUCUGUCCAGGUUAACUUUGAGGGCUUCCACCUGCUGUGGAAGUAUCUCUUGCAUUUAGAGUUGGCAAAGAGGAAGACCUUAAUUGAUUGAAAAAGCACCACUUAUUAGUUUCAUGGAUUGUAUUGCAGAAGAUAUUAAAUAAAAACAAAACACAAUACGCCUUCGACUCCGAACUGCAAAUUACCUGGGAAUCUGAGCGAACGAAUCUGAUGCCCUUGCCAGGAUAUGUCUUCGCCCCACUGAACCGGCAGAGUUCAGUCCUGAAAUCUUCCAGACCAGACAAGUUUGAUGCUCGUCAUGAUAACAUAUUGAAAACCUCAGAUGAGAUCAUUUGCAUAUAAAAAUGCUUCAUUCCAAGACAUAUAAGUUUGAUGGUUAACAAUGGCGUAUCUAAAACCUCGAUGAGGUUAUUCGCACGGUCAUGACGAAUAUUCUCAGAGGUGCAUCAGAUCCUAAAACCCCUUGGCAGAGGUCCAAAAACCCUUUCAAGUGGUCACAGACAGCAGGAAACAAUGAACUCUCGUCCCAACUUCAACUUCAUUGAAGCCUUAGCCAUUCUGUUCUCUUUGCUAUGUUUUCACUAGAAGCAUAUUUAUGGAAGAGAAAUCAUGGAUCUUUGGAACAACAUCUGCAUAAAUCUAAUUCAAACUCUAUCAUUGCAAUCCCUUUUGAAUUUCAUCACUUUUUUUUAAAAAAAAAAGUGCUAAAAAGAAUGUAAAGUUUCUGAGAGUUUUCUUUCUUUUGCCUUGUUAGGAAAUUCUUUAUUAAGAAUGUAUAAAAAAAGAGUAAAUGGAGCUUUGCUUUGUUCUAGAUGAGCAUCCAUGCAUGGUUUAAUAAGUAGAGAAUAAAAUCUUCCAUGAAAGCUUUAGUGUGAUAGACUUGAAUUACAACAAAGAAACUGACAAGCUGAGCACUAGAAAAGAUCAUUCAAGAUCUCAAUUAUGAAGGUUAAAACCAAAGCAUAAAGCAUAUUAUACAUUACAGCAAAAUCUAAUCGAUCAUAGUCCAAGAUCUUACAUUUAUGCUCACCCCCUAUCCUUGUGCAUAAAAACAAAAAAACAAAAUUAGGUUUAAAAGCUACUAUUUAAACUGUAUUACAUAUAUAUAUAUAUAUAUAUAAAAUUUCAUAUCAAAACCAUAUAAAAAAAAUUAAGAUCUUAAAUUUAUGCUCACCCCUAUCCCUAUUUUUUGUAAUCAAGAUUCCUGAAAAGUAUGAUCUCAAAGCUACCUAUGUUUGAGUGAUUUGUACCGUACCAAAAUUUUAAUUCAUGUGCGCUAACUUGAAAAGCAAAUGAUCUGAAAUCAAAAUGGAACACAUGACUAGUGUGAUUAUGGACAUGUUGCAAGAAAAGGUUUUUACUCAAGAAAUUACUCGAAAAAAAGGUGAAAGAUGUUGUUCGGACGUAUAUUAGGAAUUUUAAUGAUUAUCAAUUACAGGUUGAAAGCUUUAGAAAAUAUUAGUUUGGGAAGGUAUGUUCUUCCCAAACUAGCUUUACAAAAUGUUAGACGGAGAAAUAUUGCAUUUGAGCAGGAAAUUGUAGUUUUACACAUAGUUUUAAAACCCGGACCGGCCCGGCGGAUUGACCUGGGACCCGGCCGACCCGGGCAUGGGACCGGUCUGGGUGGAGGUCAAAACCCGCUUGGGAAUUGGUCCGGCCAGACCCGGUCGACCCGAGACCCGGCCGCAAACCCGUUAACUUUUUUUUUUUGUUUUUUUUUGUGUUAAAACGACGUCGUUUUGAUUUUUUAAAAAAAAAUUAAAAAAUAAAUUUUGACCCGGCCGACCCGGUCAAAAUCCGAAACCCAGGCCUUAGACCGGGCCGGGUCUUAAAACUAUAGUUUUACCUUUUCUUACUCUUGUUUCAAGAAAUUUGAAGUACUCUUCUAUUUGUGAAUAAUUUAAUAUUUCUUUAAGUGUAUUUUUUAUUAUUUCAUGUCAAAACCAUAUAAAAAAAAACAAUUAAAAGGGCACAGUUUUGAUAUUUUUAUGGAAAAAAUUAAUUAACAAAAUAUUUUCAAUUAUAUUACUAAACAUGCAUCUAAGCGACAUGACUCACUUGUUUUUGGUUGGUGCAUGUUACAUACGUUAAUGACCAUUAAUAAUUUUUUUUUAUUAUUGAAUUUGUUUUAUUGAAUUUUUUUUAAUUAUAUUAAAAAUAUUAUUAUUAAAGUUUCAAUGUGUUUUCAAUUCUCUUUUCUCUUUCUUGUUGAAGUUUGUAAAACUAUUUUUUAUGUAUUUUUUAAAUAGAUGCACUUUCUAACUAUAAGAAUUUGAAAAAAUCACAAGUGGAAAUUGCUAUUUACAUCAAAUUAGAAUAAUUUUAAAAUAUUUUUCUUUGUGUUAAUUAGCUAUUUAAAAAAACAAAAAAAAUGUGAUUUUAUUUUUAAAAAACUCCCAUCUUAUAGCAUUGGAUUAGGAUAAAGGUGCUUUCAAAAUUUGUGCGUAGAAUAUGUUCUUUCUAAUAUUCCGAUCAAUGACCAUCCAAUGGGUUUCUUGUAACCAUCAUCAAUCCAAUAUUGGAGAUAAGGUUUCCAGAAUCAUAAAGCCCUGCCGUUUUGGCACCUGAUGCCAACAUUAUUGGCCUACAGAAAGACAAUCAAAACUACUAAAGGCCAAUCACCGCCAUGCGAGUAAAGAUAUGUUUCGGAUUGAGUUUUGAAAAUAUUUUUGAAAAAAAAUGAUUUUUUUUUUAAAAAUCAAGGUAAUAUAAUGGGUCAUGUAUACAAAUAAAAUUACUGACAUAACUGAUUUCGUUUGUAAAAUCCAUCAAUAAAUUCAUUUGUAAACUGUUAACUUCUUCCUGACACUGUUUAUCAUGUCAAUUAUAAAGAAAAUCAUUGACAAAAUAUUCUUUUGAUAUUUCUUAGAGAACUUUGCAACUAUUUACUUUCCAAUUGCACUAUUAAUUAUUAUUUUUUAUAGAUAAAAUCACUGACGGAUUGAAAAUUUAUCGGUGUUAUCUGGCGGGUUUCUGAAAAUCUUUUAUUAAAUUAAAUAUUACAGACGAAAUCACCGAUGGAUUGAAAAGUUGUAGGUGAUAUUUGGCGGUUUCUGAAAAUUUUGUAUUAAAUUGAAAAUUUAAAUUAACUAUUACAGACGAAAUAAUUGACGGAAUGAUUAAAAAUAUUAAUAUUUAAUUAUUCAUCUGUAAAACACCCAAUAAAAAGACUAGAAUCCUUUAUUUCACAAUAGACGUGCCUCUUUUUUCUUCUUCUUCUUUUUUUUUUUUUUAAAAAAAAACAUCAACAUCCCUUUCUUUCUCUUCUCUCCUCAACUCCUUAUUUAUUUAUUUAAACGCUGCUUUUCAUUUUUAUUUUAAUGCUAUGUUUGUUUAUGAAGUUGCAUCUGUGUUUGAAGCAAAACACAGGAGUAACAUAUUUGAUAAUAAAAAAAACAUCAUUUACUGUUUAUGGGCCCCAUUGUUAUCCACCUUUGCAACGCAGAAUGAGACAAAGUAGCUCUUCGCUGCUUUUGUGGAGAGUGAAAAGUGGAGGGUGACUCCACUAUUCCGGUUGGAAUGGGUCCAAUUCAAAGCUAAAAAUGCAUUGAACCGGAUCCGAUCCAGUAAAAUAAAAAAAUCAUUUUUUUUAUUUUUAAUUGUGUUUUAUUAAAAAAAAAUUAGUGUUUUAACAUUAUUCAAUGACAUUAUAUAAAUUAUACGGGGAUUGCUUAAUGACGUAAUAUUUGUAGAAUUUGAUCAUAAUCCUAAUUUUAUUCAUGAUGUUGUUGUGCGCUUAAGAAACCAAGAAAACUGUAGUCAUUGUUGAAUGUAUUUCAUAUGUAAUGGAAUUGUAGAUAGUUUAAUGGAACAAUAAAAAAUAUUUUAUAUAAAGUAUUAUUUAUUUUAUGAUGUAAUAACAGUAAUUAAAUCUACAAUAUUUAAAUUAAAAACCAUCAAUAGUAAUAUAUAUUUUUUGAAAUUAUUUUAUAAUCUCAAUUUGAAAAGCAUUCUUAACCAAAUACAUUAAACUAUUUUUUAGUUCAACUUUAAUUUUAACCAAACAUAUAUAAAUAUCAAACCAACCUUAACUAAAAAUACUUUUUAUAAAAUACAUUUUUCAAACCACAACCAUAAAAGCUACCACAAUACCAAACACACUCCAGGUGUGUUUAUUUCUUGGAAAGUGGUUUCCCAGAAAUCACUUUCCAAACUUUCAUGUAUUUAUUUGCCAUUAUGAAAGUUGAUCAACAGAAAACACUUUCCAGUCAAAGAAAAAUUUGGCUUGGUUUCCAGGAAAGUGUUUUCCUUUUAUUUUGGGCGAAAAACACUUUCCGGAAGUUGUGAAAAAUUUAGAAAUGUCAUAUUAUUUGUUGAUUAUAUCAAAUUUGGUCCUCAAACUUUUGAUUGCUAUAUAUAUUUUGUUUUGAAUAUUUGUUUUUCAAUUUCAUCCCUUAGAAUUGAAUUUUUAUAUAAACUUUGGUCCUCAUUUUUAUUUUGCUUUUCCCUUAUUAUUUUUUAAUUGGAAUUUUUUAUCUAUCAAAUCUGGUCCUCAUUCUUUUGAUUGUUAUUUAUUUUAUUUGAAAUAAUUUAUGAAAUGAUAAUUAUUAUUAUUUUAAUUUCUUCAUCUUUUUAUUUUUUUAUUUUUUAGAUUUGAUCUCUAUUAUUUUGAUUAUUAUUUAUUUUAUUUGAGAUAAUUUAUAAAAUUAUAUAUAUUUUUUUAAUUUCAUUCUCAUUCAACUUUUUAAUUUGUAAGAUUUAUUCCUCAUUAUUUUAAUAAAUUUUAAAAAAUAAAAUAUUAAUAAGUUAUUUUCCAGCUCAUUUUCCAUGACAUAACCAAAUACUAAAAAGUAUUUUCUAAUUUAUUUUUCAUGAUACUAUCAAAUAUUGAAAAAUAAUUUAUUUUUCUAAAAUUUAAUUUUUUUUAAAAAAUUUACUUUUCAGUAAAUAAAUAGGAACUUAACUGACACCUCCCAAGUCCUAACGGAUAUCAUGGACCCGUAGGGUAGAUAUUGCCCCUUAGGAUCUUGCUUUCUUCUUCUAAGGCCCGCAUGUUGAUAUUGACCAUCUUGGGCACUUAUGGAACUUGGCCUGGGUUGACAGGUCGACCUGCGACCUGUUUACCCGGGCAUUCAAACUGGAUUGGAAAUUAAUUUUGUUAAACAAAGGUGAUAUGUUCUAUCAAUUCAUAAUUAUCGAUUCGAUUGAUCUAAUUAAUUUUUUUUUAUAUAAAAAACAACUUCGUUUAUUUAUGUUUAUUUAAUUAUUUAUAACUUUUUAUGCCUAAACGAGCCUGGACUUGGAUCGAAUCAGAUGACGAGCCUGGUCUGAUAACUUAGCCUUGAAGUUUAUUCUGUUAGAUCAUUAUUGUUUACUGUGUUAGGCAACAGAUAUCCCUCUAUUCAUACUCAGCUUAAUUUUUCAAUUUUGACUUUUAAAAAUAUGGAGAGAUAUAUGUCAAAUUCCGAUCGGUUCUGAUUUUAAGGAAAAAUAAAAAUUUAUUAAGAAUUCAAAAACAAAUUCAAAAAAUGCUAUUUUUUAUAUAAUUUGAAAAAAUAUAUAUUCUAAACUUUGUUUUAUAAAGCUAAAAAAUUACUAAAAAAUAUAUUUAAUUUAUAUUUAUGUAUACGAUAAUUGUUAAUUUAUUUAAUACUUGUUAAUUUAUUUUUUAACUUUAUUUUAUAAAGCCAACAAUGAUUAAAAAAUAUAUUUAAUUUUUAUUUAUUUAUACUAUACUUGUUAAUUUAUAUAACACUUUUUUAUGUCUUCAUCAAAAUUUUCGUGAAAAAUUAAAUUGAAAAAUCAUGGCUAUGAAAAAUAAACAAUACUCAUUUACUCCCUCAAAUAUGUUUCAUCAGUAAAUCCAUAAUUUUUCUUCGCUGAAUAUCAUUAGAUUUUCAUAAAAAGAUAUGAUUAUAAAGGUGAACAUCUUAGUGAUUUUUUAAAUUUUAUUAUUAUUUUUAGAGUUCUAAAUAAGAUUUUCUUUAAAUUAGAACCAAUAGAAAUCUAACUCGUGUUCUUCCAUAUCUUUAAAAGACAAAAUUAAUGAAAUAUUAGGCUUACUCUGAACAGAGAGAUCUAUACUGCCUAGUAGACAAAAUCAUAGAAACCCAAUUAUAUAAAUUUAAACCAUAAGGAUAUCUUUAUCAAAUAUCAAUAUAUCAGAGAGAUUCAUAGUACCAUUAAACCAAAGUUACACCUAAACUUGUCAUGCAAUAAAACACGUGCAUAUUCAUACAAUAAAAAUAAUAAAUAGACGUAUUUCUCCCUUUCUAUUACAAAGAUCAUUGCAAUACUUAGUAGAUGUAAACGGAAGGGAUGUGAGCUAUCUUAGGCCAGUCUUCUCCUCGCUCCUUCUCGCACCUUUUCUUCAAAUUUGGACAAUUUUCAAUUAUCAAGUCGCUGAGGUUGCUGAGACUCUGUAGCCCUUCUGGCAAACAUACCAAAUUAGGGCAUAUACAGAGUGUUAGAGAUCGGAGAGAAGUAAGAUGUUGGAUACUCUUUGGCAAUGAAUUCAGCUCUGGACAAAGUCUAAGCUCCAAAUCCUCAAGUACUGUCAGAUAUUGCACUCCCUCGGACAGAGACACAAAUUUAUCACAAUUGCUAACAGAUAACUUACGAAGAGAUGAUAAGCCGGACAACCCAUUCAUUGGCAGAGUGUAUAAUCUUGUACAACUAUCUAUCUCUAAAACCUCCAAAGAAGUGAGUUUUCGAAGACCUUCCUCUGGCAAGCUUUCAAGUUCAUCAAAAUGCCGGAUACUCAAGCUUUUAAGAGCUGAAAGGUUGUCAAAUACCUUAUUUGACAAAGACGGCAGAUUUCUCAUCCCAACCAUAUAUAAGAACUCGAGGAGUGUAUGAUUUUGCAAGAACCCAUCUGGAAGCAGCCUCACAUCAAUCCAUUCAAUAGAAAGGAAUGUGAUAGAAGUAAAUUUCAUAACUGACAUCAGUAACGAAGCAUUGCCUCUAUCGAUGAUUAACCUUUUGACGGAAGGUAUAAUUGGUAUUUCGGUCAACAAGGGGCAACGAACUACAGAUAAUUCUCGAAGACGAGGAAAACUACACGGAGCCCAUUGCUCUAGUCUCUUCAUUGAAAUAAAUUUCAGCCUCUCCAAAGAUGGGAAUGGAUUUUGCUCAUCUCCA
RNAcentral lists this long non-coding RNA (14958 nucleotides) under Populus tremula. Its description in RNAcentral is "long non-coding RNA (PTRE_LNC001309)". Lineage: Eukaryota; Viridiplantae; Streptophyta; Magnoliopsida; Malpighiales; Salicaceae. The record is from RNAcentral.